Molecule: long non-coding RNA, 692 nt
Organism: Nicotiana tabacum (common tobacco)
Lineage: Eukaryota; Viridiplantae; Streptophyta; Magnoliopsida; Solanales; Solanaceae
Source: RefSeq, a predicted model, not a curated record
UCCGCCAACCAACCCCAAAAAAAGAAAAAAACCCUAAGACUUCUCCUGCAACUGCGAAUUAAACCUCUGUUUUGAACAUUUAUUUCAUAAACCUGCAACUGCCUGUGAAAUAAAAUUCAGGGAAACUGCUGGUGUUCAAACAUCAAUAUCAUCCUAUUAGAAAAACUGCUCGUCACCUUCAUUGACAACAACUACUCAUCUUCGAGUUUCUUCUCAUCAGGUUGACAUGAAUACAUCAAAUUCUCAGACGUUUAAAGUGGAAUCAACUUCAAAGUCUGCGAAGCCUGUGUACGUUCCACCUGGUAGCUUAGCAAGGGGACGAGGGCAAAGCUUUAGAACAAUGUUGAACAGAGAGGUUCGAUUGUCAAAAGUAAAACUUUUAGUGUAUUAGCUUCUGAUCAGAAUAAGAUAACUCAUAAUGAUAGUUUUGUGCCUCUUGGUUUUGAACCAAUAUUGGAAGGUGAUGCACCCCUUCCUCAUCAUGAAGAAGUGAUGCAAGGCAUUGAAAGAAGCGAAAUAAGUAUCUUACUGUUUUAAGCUAUAAUAUUUUUUUUUUUAUUGUACAAAAACUUUUUUUUAUUUGACUUAAAUUAAAAUUUGCAAGGCCAUGUAAAUCUGAAAAGGCAAAAAAAGUGAGACUAAUAGAUGUAAAAAUAUUGCAUCACUCAAAGUUGGAGAAACGUUGAGCAUUA